GUGCGAAUAAAUACGGCUAUAAAAUUUACCGCCAAAAACGACGAAUAUAAAACGAAAAAGUGACGAAAAACAUUAUUUUAAUUUCGCCACCCCGAGUCGCACGAACUUUAACCCGAGCGGCGGUAUUCUCACGUACAACGAACGUCUACUUUUCCUACUCCUUGUUUUUUUUUUCUUUCUAGCUCAAACGUCCGCAGAUAAAGAAACGUUCGCCGGGGUUUCGAGGAUGAGUUAUCGCGGGGUAAUAUUUAUUUUAUAGAUAGGUGGAAUUCGUACAAGGGUUUGGAUUAUUUAUAGUACACCUGACUCAAAGCGGCGACGUGGAUCUCUCGUGCCCCGGAGGGUGGUGGGCAAUGAGCGACCCGCAGACACCCUAAUGUAUGCGGCGCCUCCUCUAUCGACGUCAUGUGACACGAUUGCCAUCGACAACGUCUCCCCCACCCCGAGAUUCGGAUUUCUGAGGUCAAAACAAUUGGAAAUACCAAAGAAACCGCAAUAAAAGAGAAUGUUGAUUUUUGACUCGAAAAUCGAAAAAAAUCAAGACUAAAGGCCCUCGGAAAAUCAUGAUAAGUCACGCCACGCUGCAAUCCACCGAUGCUGUUAUUACUCAAAUUAUACUGGCAUCAGAAAAUUAUAGAGAGAAGAUAUAAAAAUUUCGAUUAAGCUGCGAAGUUUAACAUGUUGAUAUUGGUGUGAAGGGCGUAAUGGAAAGUGUAAAUAUUGUACGUUACGCGAGAGACAAGAAAGUAACUA
This is a long non-coding RNA of Athalia rosae (coleseed sawfly), 753 nucleotides long. RefSeq lists it as uncharacterized. NCBI's taxonomy places the organism in Eukaryota, Metazoa, Arthropoda, Insecta, Hymenoptera, Athaliidae. The transcript is spliced from 3 exons. The record is from RefSeq and is a predicted model, not a curated record.